CCUACGGGAGGCAGCAGUAGGGAAUCUUCCACAAUGGGCGAAAGCCUGAUGGAGCAACGCCGCGUGGGUGAAGAAGGUCUUCGGAUCGUAAAACCCUGUUGUUAGAGAAGAAAGUGCGUGAGAGUAACUGUUCACGUUUCGACGGUAUCUAACCAGAAAGCCACGGCUAACUACGUGCCAGCAGCCGCGGUAAUACGUAGGUGGCAAGCGUUAUCCGUAUUUAUGGGGCGUAAAGGGAACGCAGGCGGUCUUUUAAGCCUGAUGUGAAAGCCUUCGGCUUAACCGGGGUAGUGCAUUGGAAACUGGGAGACUUGAGUGCAGAAGAGGCGAGUGGAACUCCAUGUGUAGCGGUGAAAUGCGUAGAUAUAUGGAAGAACACCAGUGGCGAAAGCGGCUCUCUGGUCUGUAACUGACGCUGAGGUUCGAAAGCGUGGGUAGCAAAUAGGAUUAGAUACCCUGGUAGUC
RNAcentral lists this ribosomal RNA (465 nucleotides) under uncultured bacterium. RNAcentral's name for it is "partial 16S ribosomal RNA". It matches the Rfam family "Bacterial small subunit ribosomal RNA", at positions 338 to 795 of the family's 1533-position model. The record is from RNAcentral.